AGUUUUUUCUUGUAGAACUACUUUCCGCAUUGGCGGCCUUCGGCAGCGCUUCAAAAAAAUAACCCUGGUCGAUCCAACACCAGGAGUUAUUAAAGAGGGGGAAAUUAAAAGUUCUUUCGCAAAGAACUACUUUCCGCAUUGGCGGCCUUCGGCCGCGCUUCAAAAAAAUAGACCUGGUCGAGCCAACACCGGGAGUUAUCAAAGAGGGGGAAAUGAAAAAGUUUUUUCUUGUAGAACUACUUUCCGCAUUGGCGGCCUUCGGCCGCGCUUCAAGAAAAUAACCCUGGUCGGGCCAUCACCGGGGGUUAUCAAAGAAAAGGUAAUACCGAGAUUUUGCAUUAGUCAUAACACCAUUAUGGUUUAUAUAUUUGGUGUAUAAUCCUUCAUUUUUCUGUUUAUUUUUAUUCUUUUAAUUUUUGCAAAAUGUUUGAUAUGGCAACACUCAUUACUUGUUAACCUGCAACCAUUUUACUAUUUUUUAGACGAAGAUUUGUUUAAAAUGUUAAAUCUUUAUUUACAGCUAUUUUCGUCAUAAUUUUUUUAAAAUAAAUAUGCAGAAACAAUGUGAUGAAGUGUAUGUGUAAAAUAAGUGCAUAAUAUUAAUAAAAUAUUCUGUAUAUAUUGUGAAAAUUUGAGAUAAAAGUUGUACUUGUUUCAUCUUUAAGUGCGAAUAUCUCGAAAACUAUAAGUCAACUGCAGCUAUAUAUAUAUAUAUUCUUAAUCUGGAGAACCUCCUCUUUCCAACGAUACCCAUUAUUAUACCGAAAGCCUGGGAUAGUAUACUAAAUCCGACCCCUAGUAUAGCGUAGUUUUAGUUUUCGAGAUAUCCGCGUUUAAAGUUUAAAAAUUGUCUAAUUUUAACACGUAAUUUCUCGCUUUUCAUUUAUAUUUUGCACUUAUUAUACACUUACACUUCACUACUUUCUUACCAUAUAUUUAUUUUAUAUUAAUUAAUUUGAAAUUUGCUUUAAAUAAGCAUUUUAAUUUUUAUUCAAUUUUAUCAAUUCACACAAUAAGAAAAGGGUUGCAUGCUGACGAAAAAUAAGCAAUGCACUUAUUAUACACUAACAAUUCACUAAAUUGUUUCCACAUAUUUAUUUUUAUACUCUCGCAACAAAUGUUGCUAAAGAGAGUAUUAUAGUUUUGUUCACAUAACGGUUGUUUGUAACACCCAAAACUAAACGAGUUAGAUAUAGGGUUAUAUAUACCAAAGUGAUCAGGGUGAAGAGUGGAGUUCAAAUCCGAAUGUCUGUCUGUCCGUCCGUCCGUCCGUCUGUGCAAGCUGUAACUUGAGUAAAAAUUAAGAUAUCUUGAUGAAACUUGGCACACUUAUUUCUUGGCACCAUAGGAAGGUUGCUUUCGAAAAUGAGCCACCACUGCCACGCCCACAAAAUGGCGAAAACCGAAAACACGUAAAGUGCCAUAACUAAGCCAUAAAUAAAGCUAUGGAAAUAAAAUUUGGUAUGAAGGAUCGCACUAUGAAGGGGCAUAUUUAGAUGUAAUUUUUUUGGGGAAGUGGGCGUGGCCCCGCCCCCUACUAAGUUUUUUGUACAUAUCUCGCAAAUCAAUAGAGCUAUAUAAACCAAACUUUCUGCAGUCGUUUUUUUUAGCCACUUCCUAAUACAGUCCAAAAAUGAAAGAAAUCGGAUCAUAACCACGCCCACCUCCCAUACAAAAGCUAGGUUGAAAAUUACUAAAAGUGGGUUAACUCACUAACGAAAAACGUCAGAAACACUAAAUUUCACAUAAGAAAUGGCAGAUGAAAGGUGCAUUCAGAUUUUUAUACAAAAUGGAAAAUGGGCGUGGCGUCGCCCACUUAUGGGUUAAAAACCAUGUCUCAGGAACUACUCGACCGAUUUCCAUGAAACUUGGUUUGUAAUAGUUUAAUUACAUCCCAAUGAUAUGUUGUGAAAAUAGGCCAAAUCGCUUCACAUCCACGCCUACUUCCUAUAUACCAGAACUUUGAAGUGGAUCUGAAUCGUUUACUUUACAAUAUAUAAAGUAAGUACUAGUGAAGAUAUCGGUGCAGAACUUUGCACAAAUACUAUGUUAAGAGUGUGGCAGCCCCAUUCUAAAAAUCGCCGAAAUCGGACCAUAGGUUUUAAGGCCCCAUAUAUCGAACACGAGGACCUCGGUGCUUCUAACCUAAUAUUAUGGUUUCCAACUUUCAACGUACUUUAUACAAUAUAUAUGACGAAUAUGUGGGUCAAAUUGUGUAUUAUAUAAUAUAAAUAAAGUUAAAUAAAUAAAUUGCGAGAGUAUAAAAUGUUCGGUUACACCUGAACUUAGCCCUUCCUUACUUGUUUAUCAGUUAGUUUAAUAUUUGCUUUAAAUAAGCAUUUUAAUUUUUACACAAUUUUGUUUAUAUGCACAAUAACCAUGUUGACAGAUAUCAAUUAUAUAAAUUCGUAAUCUGGAGAUCCUCUUUCCAACCUACCUAUUUUAACCUUGAAAUCGGGGAGAUACUUUUUCCAGGCUUUCGGGGAUAAAAUGGAUAUGAUUGGAAAGAGGAGGAUCUCCAGAUUAAGAAUAUAUAUAAUUAUAGCUCCAGCUGACAUACACGUUAUUUUCCCUGUAUAUUGAAUUUGUCACAUGUAUUUUGCACUAUACAUAUAUUUUCACAUCACCAAUUUGUUUCUACGUAUUUAUUUAAAAUUAUUUAUUUCGAAAUUUGCUUUAAAUAAGCACUUAUUAAAUUUUAUCACUAUCACAAUAACAAAAGAGUUGCAUUGUGACAAAAAAUAAGUAUGAGAACACUGUUUUACAGAAGAAUCAAACUAAAUAAAGAAAAAGGAUGUUUACUCAAAAUCUCUUGCCAUUUCCUUUUCUUUGAUAAUCCCCGCUGUUCGCUAGACAAGAGUUAUUUUUUUUGAAUCGCGGCCGAAGGCUGCCAAUGUAGAAAGUGGUUUUACGUGAGUGUUACUGGGGGAUUUGAGGACAUUUUAAGUUAAUUAGCUCAAAAUAAACACUUUUUACUAAUUAAAUGGUUAUUAUGCAUAUAUCUUAAUCGUAAUCUAGAGAUCCUCCUCUUUCCAACCAUACCCAUUUCACCCUGAAAACAUGGGAUAGUAUACUAAAGUUUCCCCGUAGUUUUAGAUGUAUAUUGUCCGCGCUUGUCAACUGUUAAAAUUUGCUGCGGUAGCGUUAAUACCAGACAAACAUACUCUUUCAAGGUUAUUUAGUAAAAAUUAUUCAAAUUGUUUAAUAGUAAUAUUAAAUUUCAAUAAAUAACACUUAAUACCAACAUUAAAUUUAAUAAAUAUGCGUAAUAAUUUAAAAUAAUUCCAAUAAUAAUGAAAAAAAAUAUUUUAUUUAAUAAUUAUUUAAGUACUGUUCAUCGGACUUUAAAAGUUUUGUGAAGAUUAAAUGCUAGCACAACACCCUAAUUACCACAAUUGUAGCAAAAAAAGCGUAGCACACAACCCAAGUACGCCUCGGUGGUGUGUUAAAAGUUGAAAAGUAAUGUAAACAAACAAAGGUUUUCUACUGUAUAUACUGAGGUAUAGACUACUUACUCAACAUAUCGUGGGACGGUAAACUAAAGUCGACCCCGGAUUACUUUGUCGGUCGAAGUUUGACAACAAGUUCCGGCAUAAAUGGGAUAUCGGAUGAGGAGAAGGCUCUCCAGAAAAGGAAUAUAUAUAAAUAUAGUUGAUUGGACUAGCUGGACUGGAUAUUGGACUAGUCAGUUUUGAAAUAUUUGUAUCUAAAUGUCCAAUUUUUUCCAUAAAUAUCACAUGGCAUUUCACACAUUUUAACGCAAUUUUCUCACAUUUUUCAAUUCUUAUAUUGAUAAUUACACUGUUAACAUUCAAUUUAAUUCAAAUUUUACAUAUAUUUAAGGUUUAUAAAGUAAAAUUUUCUUAUUUUAAAAAUCAAGUAGCUCACUAAUAGUUGGAAAGGUUUCAGUGUUUACAAUUAUGUGGAAACCGACCGUUGCCACAUCUUAGAAACUAUAUGUGAAGGAUUUUGCAACACUGCGUUUUAUUUAAUAGCAUAUCAUAGUUUUUUGUCGUAGAACUUUUUUCUCCUUUCGCGUAGAACUCCUUUCUGCAUUGGAAAAGGAAAACGGUACUUGUAAUUCAAACAACAGGUAGCACUUAUGGUACAAGCCUGCGCUAAAAUGUCCUUUUAAUCAUGCGCAAUAGUGUUGCACCAUUUUCUUAGGUGGAGAAAUAUUUAAAUCUGCACAAAAAUAUAUUUUUAUCCCUUUGUUUCGAGCUAUGUCUCACGUUUUAUUUAAUCAAUUAAAAUGUGUUUCAAAGUAAAAAACAAAAAAAUAUAUAUAUUUGUAUUGGCAUUUUUGUCUAUAAUUUGUGCUUGGAGUCGUCUUUACCUUUGUGAAUAGUCUACAUAUGUAAAACAAAAUUUGCCAACACUGGGCAAGCGAUACAAUUUUUAAUGAGGCGAGCAGCGCCCAAAGAUAGCGAGCAGAGAAGUGACCAAUCGAUUGUAUUGCAUGUAUACAAUUAUGAGGAGAAUUAGUGUUGGAGGAGUUUCUUACAAAGAUAAAAGGGGGAUUCUCUUACAUAUAUAUUUUAUAGCAAUUCAUUAUCGUUAUGUUUUCUUAAAAUAAGAAGCAUUUUAAUUUUUACACAAUUUUGUUUAAAUGUACAAUAACCAUUUUAUCAAGGUCUGAAUAAAAAGGGGAUUAUACCUUAAAUACUUGAGUUAUAAUAAUUUCAUUCCUUUCUCUUACUAAACCACGAUAUUGGAUCGACUAUGGUUAUUUUUUCGAAGCGCGACCGAAGGCCGUCAAUGCAGAAAGAAGUAAUGCGCGAAAGUACUAAGGACCACACCGAUGUUGGAUCGACCAGGGUUAUUUUUUUAUUUUGAAGCGUGGCCAAGGCCGCCAAUGCGCGAAAGUUGUAUGUUAUUUUUAAUAUUUUAGACAUACUUCCAGAACCAAACGUUUAGCAGCAUUUCUUCCUUUAAUCUUCUAGGACACUGUUGUCCUCCUUACCAUUUCUUUCUCCAUUGGCAUAAAUCAUAAACUUUAAAUCAAUCAGUAACCAGAAAUUAUCCUCGCAGUCUUCUACGCCGUUUUUUCCUGGACAGCAGGCCGAUAAGCCAGGAACAUGGAUAUAUGGACAUCCUGUGUACCUGUGGAGAUACCUGUCCACCAGCUUUCCAAAAAUGCCCCUCCAAAUUUCGGAUUAAGCGUUCCACCAUGAUAUCGAAUCGUGGAUGUGAUGUAGCUUCAAAUAAUUUCCGGACAUAUAGCUUCUGGCACAUCUCCCAACUUUUGAUGUCCACGUCCACCAUCUCGUCAGUCUCUUUACCAUGAAUUGGGCACACCUCUGUCCUGACCAACAAAACACUCCUGUUUCCUGAUUUACUGCUUCAUCUGACCAUGACUCUUGGAACUUGACACUUUUGUUGCAAUGCACUUUCUUGUUUAUUGACCACAACCAACCUUGAUUCUUAAAUUUUUCCAAGGCUUUCCUGAUUCUCAAGUAUCCUUGAUUUGGACCUUUGUGCAACUCGUUGCGAACUUUAGGUAAUCUUUUAUUCCGAACAAUCAUAUGAGAUCGGAAGCUUUGUCCUUGUUUUGCUUUUCCACACUCGAUAUAAGCAACCAGCCACCAACUUAAAACUGUUCCACUUGGUUUUUGCGACUAGAGGCUCUGCAGCCAUUUCUUCUUCCUUUGGACGUUUGUUCCGUUCUACUACUCCAUGCAUUUCACAACUGGAGCUUCUUGUUGAGAUUCUUGUUGUUCCUUCGGAUUACAAUCUUUUGUCCAUGACACUUCUGCCUUCUCUGGGGUCACCUGCGUCAAUAUAUGUGCCUCCUGCUCUCAAUUGUGUAGCCACUUGUGCUGAAACCUGCGAUGGCAUACACUCUUCAUGCACAUCCAGCUGUGUUAACACCUCUGCUCUAUUUAAGGUCACCUCCAUAGACUCGUCCUCCUUCAACUGUGAGGACACCCAUUCGAUUCCAACUGUGUUGACAAAAUCUCUCCAAAAAUAGUCCCCAAACGCUUCUAUCAUCUGUGACAUUAGGAACAGAAACGUGUUCGUGUCUAAAGCUUCUGAGGCAUCUUGUGUUCUUUUCAUUUCUUCUAUUUCCAUUAUCCAUUCCGCCCACGUUGAUUUGAAAACAUAUUUGUCCACGUUUUUUUCUUCCAUUGCCUCUCUUAACCGGGCUUGCAAUUCGGAUUUCAAACCAUUCGUUGCUAACCCUGUUGUUCCAACUCCUUUUUGAUUUGUGGUAUCCUUAAUUCGUUUAACUUAGCCAUUAUCAUCAUCAUCAUCAUCCCUUUCUUGCACAUUACAUUCAUCAUUUAACAAUUUAUAUAUUCCUCUUGCACAAUUCUGAGAAUGAUCUUGGUAUAAUCAUGGAUGAAAGACCCAAAA
This is a long non-coding RNA of Zeugodacus cucurbitae (melon fly), 6357 nucleotides long. RefSeq lists it as uncharacterized. Lineage: Eukaryota; Metazoa; Arthropoda; Insecta; Diptera; Tephritidae. The transcript has 2 exons. The record is from RefSeq and is a predicted model, not a curated record.